RNAcentral lists this ribosomal RNA (465 nucleotides) under Vreelandella stevensii. RNAcentral describes it as "partial 16S ribosomal RNA". It matches the Rfam family "Bacterial small subunit ribosomal RNA", at positions 338 to 795 of the family's 1533-position model. The record is from RNAcentral. Lineage: Bacteria; Pseudomonadati; Pseudomonadota; Gammaproteobacteria; Oceanospirillales; Halomonadaceae.
CCUACGGGUGGCAGCAGUAGGGAAUAUUGGACAAUGGGCGAAAGCCUGAUCCAGCCAUGCCGCGUGUGUGAAGAAGGCCUUCGGGUUGUAAAGCACUUUCAGUGGGGAAGAAAGCCUUGGGGCUAAUACCCUCGAGGAAGGACAUCACCCACAGAAGAAGCACCGGCUAACUCCGUGCCAGCAGCCGCGGUAAUACGGAGGGUGCGAGCGUUAAUCGGAAUUACUGGGCGUAAAGCGCGCGUAGGCGGUCUGAUAAGCCGGUUGUGAAAGCCCCGGGCUCAACCUGGGAACGGCAUCCGGAACUGUCAGGCUAGAGUGCAGGAGAGGAAGGUAGAAUUCCCGGUGUAGCGGUGAAAUGCGUAGAGAUCGGGAGGAAUACCAGUGGCGAAGGCGGCCUUCUGGACUGACACUGACGCUGAGGUGCGAAAGCGUGGGUAGCAAACAGGAUUAGAUACCCUUGUAGUC